RNAcentral lists this ribosomal RNA (472 nucleotides) under uncultured bacterium. RNAcentral describes it as "bacterial SSU rRNA". It matches the Rfam family "Bacterial small subunit ribosomal RNA", at positions 29 to 513 of the family's 1533-position model. The record is from RNAcentral.
AACGAACGCUGGCGGCGUGGAUAAGACAUGCAAGUCGAACGAUUAAACUUUCCUUCGGGAAAGAAAUAAAGUGGCGCACGGGUGAGUAACACGUAAGUAAUCUACCUUCGAGUGGGGAAUAACGUUCGGAAACGAACGCUAAUACCGCAUAAUGCAGCGGCACCUAAUGGUGACAGUUGUUAAAGGAGCAAUUCGCUUGAAGAGGAGCUUGCGGCAGAUUAGCUAGUUGGUAAGGUAACGGCUACCAAGGCUACGAUCUGUAACCGGUCUAAGAGGACGGUCGGUCACACUGACACUGAAUAACGGGUCAGACUCCUACGGGAGGCAGCAGUCGGGAAUUUUGGGCAAUGGGCGAAAGCCUGACCCAGCAACGCCGCGUGAAGGAUGAAGUAUUUCGGUAUGUAAACUUCGAAAGAAUGGGAAGAAUCAAUGACGGUACCAUUUAUAAGGUCCGGCUAACUACGUGCCAGCC